AUACCUUUCUCGGCCUUUUGGCUAAGAUCAAGUGUAGUAUCUGUUCUUAUCAGUUUAAUAUCUGAUACGUGAGCCAUUGGCUCACACGAUAUUAACUCAAUUUUUUAAGGGGAAAGAUCCACCAAGGUAGCUUGCUGCCUGGGUCUUUGAGUGUCGCCUUGGUUUUGCACUAUUGCCUUGGCCUGGCACACCCCAC
Ipomoea nil (Japanese morning glory) is the source of this 196-nucleotide small nuclear RNA. It matches the Rfam family "U2 spliceosomal RNA". From Rfam's summary of the family: U2 is a small nuclear RNA (snRNA) component of the spliceosome (involved in pre-mRNA splicing). Complementary binding between U2 snRNA (in an area lying towards the 5' end but 3' to hairpin I) and the branchpoint sequence (BPS) of the intron results the bulging out of an unpaired adenosine, on the BPS, which initiates a nucleophilic attack at the intronic 5' splice site, thus starting the first of two transesterification reactions that mediate splicing. The record is from Rfam. Lineage: Eukaryota; Viridiplantae; Streptophyta; Magnoliopsida; Solanales; Convolvulaceae.